UUUGAACGCUGGCGGCAGGCCUAACACAUGCAAGUCGAACGGUAACAGGAAGAAGCUUGCUUCUUUGCUGACGAGUGGCGGACGGGUGAGUAAUGUCUGGGAAACUGCCUGAUGGAGGGGGAUAACUACUGGAAACGGUAGCUAAUACCGCAUAACGUCGCAAGACCAAAGAGGGGGACCUUCGGGCCUCUUGCCAUCGGAUGUGCCCAGAUGGGAUUAGCUAGUAGGUGGGGUAACGGCUCACCUAGGCGACGAUCCCUAGCUGGUCUGAGAGGAUGACCAGCCACACUGGAACUGAGACACGGUCCAGACUCCUACGGGAGGCAGCAGUGGGGAAUAUUGCACAAUGGGCGCAAGCCUGAUGCAGCCAUGCCGCGUGUAUGAAGAAGGCCUUCGGGUUGUAAAGUACUUUCAGCGGGGAGGAAGGGAGUAAAGUUAAUACCUUUGCUCAUUGACGUUACCCGCAGAAGAAGCACCGGCUAACUCCGUG
Molecule: ribosomal RNA, 490 nt
Filed under: uncultured bacterium
Lineage: Bacteria
Description: partial 16S ribosomal RNA
Rfam family: Bacterial small subunit ribosomal RNA
Source: RNAcentral